RNAcentral lists this ribosomal RNA (484 nucleotides) under uncultured bacterium. Its description in RNAcentral is "partial 16S ribosomal RNA". It matches the Rfam family "Bacterial small subunit ribosomal RNA", at positions 30 to 507 of the family's 1533-position model. The record is from RNAcentral.
AUUGAACGCUGGCGGCAGGCCUAACACAUGCAAGUCGAGCGGAUGAAGGGAGCUUGCUCCUGGAUUCAGCGGCGGACGGGUGAGUAAUGCCUAGGAAUCUGCCUGGUAGUGGGGGAUAACGUCCGGAAACGGGCGCUAAUACCGCAUACGUCCUGAGGGAGAAAGUGGGGGAUCUUCGGACCUCACGCUAUCAGAUGAGCCUAGGUCGGAUUAGCUAGUUGGUGGGGUAAAGGCCUACCAAGGUGACGAUCCGUAACUGGUCUGUGAGGAUGAUCAGUCACACUGGAACUGAGACACGGUCCAGACUCCUACGGGAGGCAGCAGUGGGGAAUAUUGGACAAUGGGCGAAAGCCUGAUCCAGCCAUGCCGCGUGUGUGAAGAAGGUCUUCGGAUUGUAAAGCACUUUAAGUUGGGAGGAAGGGCAGUAAGUUAAUACCUUGCUGUUUUGACGUUACCAACAGAAUAAGCACCGGCUAACUUCGUG